UCAAAGAGUCUUUGAAACCAGAUCGCGGGCCAGGCUGAGCACAAGCCAGCAACAGCUCACGAAGGAUCCCAGAGCCAACAGCAGUUUGAAGUCUCAUUGUGGCUAGGUCUGAAUGGCUCUAGAGGGGAACUGGUCACUAGGGCUGGAAAGGACAACCAAGCAAGGUUGAAGGUGCAGCGCUGGGCUGGAGAGAUAGCUCACCUGCUAGCAUACUUGGGGAGCAAGUAUGAAUGGAAUUGAGUUUGGUUUCCAAAGCUCUUGUGUUGUUUAAGUUCCACCAGCUGGUCCAAUUUGUAUUCCCAUUGCUAGGAUUGGAACAGGCUGAUCCCCAGAGCUCACUGGUCAUGUGGUCCAUCCUCUCUCCACAGAGGGAAGAGAAGCUGAUGAUUGAAAUCCAUGGCGCAGGGUAGCAAAGUGCGAAUCUUGAGAGGCAGACCAAGAGGAUGCUGCAGGACCUGGCUCCGUAACCUCCCACAAGCAUCUUGCCUCCAACCCUGAGCUUUAUAUUAGUACACAAUGAGUGGGUUGAGCCCUGCAGGGUCCCCAGGCUGCCUUCCUAGCUAACACUCUGACAUUCUGGGUGAUGCUUCAUGCAACGCUGAACCUUUAGAUUUCUAGGAUUUCUAUUCUUAAGGAAAAGGGAAUGUGGCUGCUGCUGCUGUAUCUUGAAAUGACCUUGAGUCAGGAUGUGUGGCGUUAGAAACCCAUGUUUUUGUAGCAUCAGUUAGCUCUUAUGGAGUUUCCAGGGGAAGUGGGUUUACAUGUUUUGAUUAUUAUUUCUUCCGUAACCAUGUUUCAUGAAACACCUUGAAAUAGGUCCUUAAAAUCUAUCCUAUUCUCUUGCACAGGAGAGUCCUUUUGGUUCUUGGGUCUCCAACUUAAGUCACUGUGGCCUUGGUGGGGCUUUGAAUGACUUACGAUCUGAAAAAUGACACAACUUUCCCGUUCUGUGGCACCAUGAGACUCAGUAAGCGACACUUUGCAGAUUCAAAAGGGAGGCAGGUUUUUGGUCUCUUAAGAGAUGUCCUAAGAAACCCUGGCAUCUCAUAGCCCGCAGUCCUUCCUGGGCGCCUGCUCCUAGAGAUGAUGACCAGCUGUCAGAAGCGUUGCCUGCUGCUGCAGGUGCCAUCCACAUUUUGGGGGGAAACAGGCUCUCUCAUUUUGCCUGUGCACUGUCUGAGCAGCCUGGCCAGGAAGCUCUAGAAAUCCUCCAUCUCCGUCUUUCCAGAACUCUGUCUACCAUUAUGCGUUUCCAUGCCAAGUUUUCCACAUGGGUUCUGGAGAGCUAACUCAAGUCCUCAUGCUGGAGCCCAGGGGUGAGGGAGCAGCACUUGACUGACUGGGCCAUCUCCCCAGAUCCCUCCCAGUCACCAUGAGGCGGGCAUGUAUCUCUGCCAUGUGUACUGUUUAGACAAGACCCCAAAGCAACAAGAACAACUGAUCUUGUGUUGGAACUUCUAAAAUUACAGGUCUAAAUAAACUUUUAUUCUUUAUAA
Long non-coding RNA from Mus musculus (house mouse), 1496 nucleotides. RefSeq annotates it as predicted gene, 40679. The transcript has 2 exons. NCBI's taxonomy places the organism in Eukaryota, Metazoa, Chordata, Mammalia, Rodentia, Muridae. The record is from RefSeq and is a predicted model, not a curated record.